UGCUUUUGAAUUUUAUUGAGGAUAGUCUA
Molecule: non-coding RNA, 29 nt
Filed under: Mus musculus (house mouse)
Lineage: Eukaryota; Metazoa; Chordata; Mammalia; Rodentia; Muridae
Source: RNAcentral